GACUCUCUCCCUUGUACUUUCUCUCUCUCCCUUUCUACAUCCUAACCACCAUCAUCAUCAUCAGGCCACCACUGCCUAACACCACCGCCCACCCAACACCAUCGACCACCAACACCAUACCAUCACCAUUGAUCUCCAUGGUCCCUCCACCAUUAGAAUCCAACCCCUCACGUUUUUCGAUGGUUGCAAAACUCAGAUCCAAUGAAAGAUCGAAGAGGGAACAUUCUUGUGGUGGUAAACAACGAAACAGAUCUGGAUUGUAACCCUCGUUUUAUUUAACCCACCCCAAAAAAUCACAAAAAAAAAAAAAACGAUUCCGACCACCACCACCGUGACUGUGGUAGAUCUACCCAUCUCGGAUCUGUCAGGUAACAACCAUAGUCGAGUGAUAUUCAUACUCAGAUCUGACGAAUCGAGAUAAAAAUGAAAUCCUGAUGCCACAAGAUUAAAACUUUGGGGUAAACUUCCAUACACCAACAGAUUAAACGGUCAUACGGUGGUAGAAGCGGUGGUGGGUUUGAGGUUGUGGUGGUGAUCGUGUUGUGGCUGUGAUUGGAAAGAGAGUUAGAGCAAUAGAGAGAGAAGCAAGGCUCGCACAUGGUAUUCAUUUUAGGAUUUAGAUAGUAUUAUAAAGAUAAGUUAUACGAUUAUAAGUCAAUUGAUGAGCAUUUAUAAAAUAUACUUUAGGAAUUGUUUUGAGUCCGUUGCACAAUUUGCAAUUGAAGCAAAUAUAGUAAAUUAAAGAAUAUUAUUUUUUUCUCGAACAAGAUCAUGUAAAUAUGUUGGAUGAAAAAGCAAAAUAGUUCGUGGUGUUGGUUGUUGAAGGUUGGAGGUGGUGGUGAUGGUGGGUGGGUGGGAUAA
RNAcentral lists this long non-coding RNA (861 nucleotides) under Helianthus annuus (common sunflower). RNAcentral describes it as "hypothetical non coding rna". The record is from RNAcentral. Lineage: Eukaryota; Viridiplantae; Streptophyta; Magnoliopsida; Asterales; Asteraceae.